RNAcentral lists this small nuclear RNA (162 nucleotides) under Cavia porcellus (domestic guinea pig). Its description in RNAcentral is "U2 spliceosomal RNA (ENSCPOG00000027815.2)". The stretch from base 1 to 126 matches the Rfam family "U2 spliceosomal RNA". From Rfam's summary of the family: U2 is a small nuclear RNA (snRNA) component of the spliceosome (involved in pre-mRNA splicing). Complementary binding between U2 snRNA (in an area lying towards the 5' end but 3' to hairpin I) and the branchpoint sequence (BPS) of the intron results the bulging out of an unpaired adenosine, on the BPS, which initiates a nucleophilic attack at the intronic 5' splice site, thus starting the first of two transesterification reactions that mediate splicing. The record is from RNAcentral. Lineage: Eukaryota; Metazoa; Chordata; Mammalia; Rodentia; Caviidae.
AUUGCUUCUCGGCCUUUUGGCUAAGAUCAAGUGUAAUAUCUCUUCUUAUCAAUUUAAUUUUAUAUUGAUUUAGAGAAAUCAUUUAUGUUGAGCUUUAUGUUUCUAUGUAGCUCAAUAAUAACCCUCUGACAUAUGCUUCACUGUAAUAGUUUGGAAACUCUG